GAUGAACGCUGGCGGCGUGCCUAAUUCAUGCAAGUCGAGCGAACAGACGAGGAGCUUGCUCCUCUGACGUUAGCGGCGGACGGGUGAGUAACACGUGGAUAACCUACCUAUAAGACUGGGAUAACUUCGGGAAACCGGAGCUAAUACCGGAUAAUAUAUUGAACCGCAUGGUUCAAUAGUGAAAGACGGUUUUGCUGUCACUUAUAGAUGGAUCCGCGCCGCAUUAGCUAGUUGGUAAGGUAACGGCUUACCAAGGCGACGAUGCGUAGCCGACCUGAGAGGGUGAUCGGCCACACUGGAACUGAGACACGGUCCAGACUCCUACGGGAGGCAGCAGUAGGGAAUCUUCCGCAAUGGGCGAAAGCCUGACGGAGCAACGCCGCGUGAGUGAUGAAGGUCUUCGGAUCGUAAAACUCUGUUAUUAGGGAAGAACAAAUGUGUAAGUAACUAUGCACGUCUUGACGGUACCUAAUCAGAAAGCCACGGCUAACUACGU
Molecule: ribosomal RNA, 496 nt
Filed under: uncultured bacterium
Lineage: Bacteria
Description: partial 16S ribosomal RNA
Rfam family: Bacterial small subunit ribosomal RNA
Source: RNAcentral